AUAAGAUUAAGUUAUUUAGACUGAGUAUUUUCAAAAUAUUUAGAGAUUUGUAAGGGUCAUCUUAUG
RNAcentral lists this transfer RNA (66 nucleotides) under Hymenolepis microstoma. RNAcentral's name for it is "tRNA-Trp". Lineage: Eukaryota; Metazoa; Platyhelminthes; Cestoda; Cyclophyllidea; Hymenolepididae. The record is from RNAcentral.